Molecule: ribosomal RNA, 827 nt
Filed under: uncultured bacterium
Lineage: Bacteria
Description: bacterial SSU rRNA
Rfam family: Bacterial small subunit ribosomal RNA
Source: RNAcentral
AGCGGCGUACGGGUGAGUAACACGUGGAUCAUCUACCUCUUAGUGGGGAAUAACCCUGGGAAACCGGGGCUAAUACCGCAUAAUCUCGGGAGAGGAAAGCAGCAAUGCGCUGAGAGAGGAGUCCGCGGCCGAUUAGCUAGUUGGUAGGGUAAAAGCCUACCAAGGCAAAGAUCGGUAGCCGGCCUGAGAGGGCACACGGCCACACUGGCACUGAAACACGGGCCCGACUCCUACGGGAGGCAGCAGUGGGGAAUCUUGCACAAUGGGGGAAACCCUGAUGCAGCGACGCCGCGUGAGCGAUGAAGCCCUUCGGGGUGUAAAGCUCUUUCGGCAGGGAAGAUGAUGACGGUACCUGCAGAAGCAGCUGCGGCUAACUACGUGCCAGCAGCCGCGGUAAUACGUAGGCAGCAAGCGUUGUUCGGAGUUACUGGGCGUAAAGGGUGUGUAGGCGGUUGUUUAAGUUUGGUGUGAAAUCUCCCGGCUCAACUGGGAGGGUGCGCCGAAUACUGAAUGACUCGAGUGCGGGAGAGGAGAGUGGAAUUCCUGGUGUAGCGGUGAAAUGCGUAGAUAUCAGGAGGAACACCGGCGGUGUAGACGGCUCUCUGGACCGUAACUGACGCUGAAACACGAAAGCGUGGGUAGCAAACAGGAUUAGAUACCCUGGUAGUCCACGCCCUAAACGAUGCAUAUUUGGUGUGGGUCAUUCAGUUGAUCCGUGCCGGAGCUAACGCGUUAAAUAUGCCGCCUGGGGAGUACAGUCGCAAGGCUGAAACUCAAAGGAAUUGACGGGGGCCCGCACAAGCGGUGGAGCAUGUGGUUCAAUUCGA